This 545-nucleotide long non-coding RNA is filed under the name Mytilus galloprovincialis (Mediterranean mussel). Lineage: Eukaryota; Metazoa; Mollusca; Bivalvia; Mytilida; Mytilidae. The record is from RNAcentral.
UUUUUAUUGAAGUUUUGGAUGAUAAAUACAUAUGUGUUUGGGGAGAGUGAGGUGAUACAUUAGCAAGAAAAACAUUCAUACAUACAUAUUAAAACAAAAACGUAGAUACAUCAUACAACGGUAAAACAUGUAAAAUCAAAAAAUAAUUUAAGAAAAUAAUUUAUGUGCUGCCUUACUAUCACAGAUUUACCUAAACAUUCCAAAUAGUUUAUCAAAAUCUAAACGUUUAUUCAAAUGCUCUAUCAACGUCUCCUAGGAAAUACUUCAAAUGAUUUAAAACAUACAUAGACGUCGCUUGGUAGGUUGGUAACAGUUGUAAUGCAUUGAUACAUAACGGUGUUAUUGUAUCAGACUGAAUUGUAAUUCGUUUCGAUAUAAAACACAUUCCAGACAAUAUAUAAUUCUUUAACAAUCGCAAGUCAUCCUCGAAGGUGUGAAUUUCUGUACGAUGCAGAUUUCGUUCUUGAAUUUCCAUGGAAAUUAUCUGUAUGAAAUAAGCCUUGAAUGAUAACACGAUAUCCGCCAAUCCAGCAUCUGUUAGUACC